GACGAACGCUGGCGGCGCGCUUAACACAUGCAAGUCGAGCGAGAACCAGUCCUGGACGUGGGACGAGCGGCGAACGGGUGAGUAACACGUGAGUAAUCAACCCUUGGUACCGGGAUAGCCCGAGGAAACUCGGAUUAAUACCGGAUGGCCCAACAGCUUUACGGAGCGGUUGGAAAAGGUAGCUUCGGCCUCCGACCAAGACGAGCUCGCGGCGGAUUAGCUUGUUGGUGGGGUAACGGCCUACCAAGGCGACGAUCCGUAGCUGGUCUGAGAGGACGAUCAGCCACACUGGGACUGAGACACGGCCCAGACUCCUACGGGAGGCAGCAGUGGGGAAUCUUGCGCAAUGGGCGAAAGCCUGACGCAGCGACGCCGCGUU
Molecule: ribosomal RNA, 379 nt
Filed under: uncultured bacterium
Lineage: Bacteria
Description: bacterial SSU rRNA
Rfam family: Bacterial small subunit ribosomal RNA
Source: RNAcentral